RNAcentral lists this ribosomal RNA (147 nucleotides) under Triticum aestivum (bread wheat). RNAcentral describes it as "partial small subunit ribosomal RNA". Lineage: Eukaryota; Viridiplantae; Streptophyta; Magnoliopsida; Poales; Poaceae. The record is from RNAcentral.
AAAGAUUGUCCUUUUACCAAACAUAUGCAAAUGAAAGCACGUCUUAUAAUAAGAAGAAAUCUUUCUCGGUAUCAAUCCCCUUGCCCCUCAUUCUUUGAGAAUGAGGAUAAUCCUUUUCGACUUAACAUUUCUUCAUUUGUAAUCUAG